RNAcentral lists this transfer RNA (67 nucleotides) under Phratora vulgatissima. RNAcentral's name for it is "tRNA-Ser". Lineage: Eukaryota; Metazoa; Arthropoda; Insecta; Coleoptera; Chrysomelidae. The record is from RNAcentral.
GAAAUAUGAUAACCAAACAUAAGCUUCUAACUUAAUGUUUAAGCGAUGAAAUUUCGUUUAUAUUUCU